UAAUACGAAGGGGGCUAGCGUUGUUCGGAAUUACUGGGCGUAAAGCGCACGCAGGCGGUUCGAUUAGUCAGAAGUGAAAGCCCCGGGCUCAACCUGGGAACUGCUUUUGAUACUGUCGAGCUUGAAUCACGGAGAGGGUAGUGGAAUUCCGAGUGUAGAGGUGAAAUUCGUAGAUAUUCGGAAGAACACCAGUGGCGAAGGCGACUACCUGGCCGUCGAUUGACGCUCAUGUGCGAAAGCGUGGGGAGCAAACAGGAUUAGAUACCCUGGUAGUCCACGCCGUAAACGAUGGGUGCUAGUUGUUGGGGUACAUGUACCUCAGUGACGCAGCUAACGCGUUAAGCACCCCGCCUGGGGAGUACGGCCGCAAGGUUA
This 375-nucleotide ribosomal RNA is filed under the name uncultured bacterium. RNAcentral's name for it is "bacterial SSU rRNA". It matches the Rfam family "Bacterial small subunit ribosomal RNA", at positions 521 to 896 of the family's 1533-position model. The record is from RNAcentral.